RNAcentral lists this ribosomal RNA (373 nucleotides) under uncultured bacterium. Its description in RNAcentral is "bacterial SSU rRNA". It matches the Rfam family "Bacterial small subunit ribosomal RNA", at positions 53 to 424 of the family's 1533-position model. The record is from RNAcentral.
ACAUGCAAGUCGAACGGCAGCGCAGGGAGCUUGCUCCCGGGCGGCGAGUGGCGGACGGGUGAGUAACACGUGGGAAUCUGCUUGGUAGUGGGGGAUAACCCGGGGAAACCCGGGNUAAUACCGCAUGCACCCUACGGGGUAAAGUGGGGGAUCUUCGGACCUCACGCUAUCAGAUGAGCCCGCGGCCGAUUAGCUUGUUGGUGAGGUAAUGGCUCACCAAGGCGACGAUCGGUAGCUGGUCUGAGAGGAUGAUCAGCCACACUGGGACUGAGACACGGCCCAGACUCCUACGGGAGGCAGCAGUGGGGAAUAUUGGACAAUGGGCGAAAGCCUGAUCCAGCAAUGCCGCGUGUGUGAAGAAGGCCUUAGGGUU